UAUCCAAAUUUGAGAUCCCUCGGAGCAGUAUAACUCCAGAAAUCCAGGUAUGAUGAAUGACUGGUUAUUAUUUUUCUGUCAACCCGUCAGAUUUGUUGUGAGCUUCGAAACUCCAUUUUCUCUUGUUCAGAUUGGUAUGCUUUCUUCAUUGAAGUUGUUCCUCAGCUCGUGAACUACAACAUAUCCAAAUUUGAGAUCCCUCGGAGCAGUAUAACUCCAGAAAUCCAGGUAUGAUGAAUGACUGGUUAUUAUUUUUCUGUCAACCCGUCAGAUUUGUUGUGAGCUUCGAAACUCCAUUUUCUAUUGUUCAGAUCGGCAUGCUUUCUUCCUUGAAGUUGUUCCUCAUCGUCUCUUUCAUAACAUAUCAAAAAUUCAGAAUGAACUAAUGGUUAAAUAUUUCCAGAUCUUUGAAACAUCACAGCAGCUUCGAAAUCUGCAAGAAUCCGACUGUCAUGUUUGGAGCUUCAACACUUUAAUUUCCGUCGCUCAAACAGAAAUGGUUCCUUCUUGAAAGUUGUUCAUAUGCUCAAGAACUAUAGGGUGUCCAAAAUUCAACUCCAUUGGAGAAGAGCAGAGGUUGCAGAAAUUUGAUAGAUGAAAGGAGGCGGAAGAGGGGAGAGAGAGAAAAAGUCUCUUGGGUUGGAUUUCUAUUUUGGGGGCAGAUUCCAAUUUUUGUAGCACCUUCAUUAUUGAUGAAUUGCUUGUACUUUUGUCCAUUAUGAAACUUGGGACUUUGGCUUGUUGUUGGAUCUAUUAUAAUAUGUUUGGGAACAUAUAUAAGUGAAUAAAUAAGAAGGAAAAUUUU
RNAcentral lists this long non-coding RNA (805 nucleotides) under Malus domestica (apple). RNAcentral's name for it is "long non-coding RNA (MDOM_LNC010023)". The record is from RNAcentral. Lineage: Eukaryota; Viridiplantae; Streptophyta; Magnoliopsida; Rosales; Rosaceae.